Molecule: ribosomal RNA, 443 nt
Filed under: uncultured bacterium
Lineage: Bacteria
Description: partial 16S ribosomal RNA
Rfam family: Bacterial small subunit ribosomal RNA
Source: RNAcentral
CCUACGGGGUGCAGCAGUGGGGAAUAUUGGGCAAUGGGCGCAAGCCUGACCCAGCAACGCCGCGUGAAGGAAGACGGCUUUCGGGUUGUAAACUUCUUUUCUGAGGGACGACGAAAGUGACGGUACCUCAGGAAUAAGCCACGGCUAACUACGUGCCAGCAGCCGCGGUAAUACGUAGGUGGCAAGCGUUAUCCGGAUUUAUUGGGUGUAAAGGGCGUGUAGGGGGGAAAGCAAGUCAGAUGUGAAAACCCAGGGCUCAACCCUGAGCCUGCAUUUGAAACUGUUUUUCUUGAGUGCUGGAGAGGCAAUCGGAAUUCCGGGUGUAGCGGUGAAAUGCGUAGAUAUACGGAGGAACACCAGUGGCGAAGGCGGAUUGCUGGACAGCAACUGACGCUGAGGCGCGAAAGCGUGGGGAGCAAACAGGAUUAGAUACCCCAGUAGUC